This 523-nucleotide long non-coding RNA is filed under the name Equus caballus (horse). Its description in RNAcentral is "lncRNA (ENSECAG00000044854.1)". The record is from RNAcentral. Lineage: Eukaryota; Metazoa; Chordata; Mammalia; Perissodactyla; Equidae.
CCUCUAUCAAAAAUGAUCAGGCUGAAAAGAACAGUUAAGGAGCUUCUGGACAAUCCCAAGCCACUUUUUUGGCUCCUAGCCUGGAAAAACUCCUGACAGAAAGCUUGUCUGGUGCCCUUGGCAGAGACCCACAAGAUCUAGUAAAAUGCCAAAGAGAAGCAGAAUGACAUCAAGAGGGAACCACGCUGUGAGGUCAAAGGGCUACACCUGGCCAAAGGUGGGCCUCAUCCAAUCAGUUGAAAGCCUUAAUAGAAGAAGACUGAUCUCUUUCAGAAGAAGCAGGAAUUCUGUCUGCAGACAGCCUUUGGACCACAAGAUCAACUCUCCUCUAGCUCUCCAGCCUGAUGGCCUACCCUACUGAUUUUGGACUUGCCAGCUUUCACUAUCACAUGAAAUCAAUUCCCUAAAAUAAAUCUCUCUUAAAAUAAAUCUCUUAAAACAAGUCUCUCCUCUCUCUUUCUUUCUCUCUGUCUCUGUCUCUGUCUCUCUCUCUCUCUGUCUAUAUAUAAACAUAUGUCUAUAU